This 336-nucleotide unclassified non-coding RNA is filed under the name soil metagenome. RNAcentral's name for it is "partial contains 5.8S ribosomal RNA, internal transcribed spacer 2, and large subunit ribosomal RNA". The stretch from base 1 to 120 matches the Rfam family "5.8S ribosomal RNA", at positions 35 to 154 of the family's 154-position model. The record is from RNAcentral.
GAUGAAGAACGCAGCGAAAUGCGAUAAGUAAUGUGAAUUGCAGAAUUCAGUGAAUCAUCGAAUCUUUGAACGCACAUUGCGCCCGCCAGUAUUCUGGCGGGCAUGCCUGUUCGAGCGUCAUUUCAACCAUCAAGCCCCCGGCUUGUGUUGGGGACCUGCGGCUGCCGCAGGCCCUGAAAACCAGUGGCGGGCUCGCUGUCACACCGAGCGUAGUAGAUUUUCAUCUCGCUCAGGGCGUGCUGCGGGUUCCGGCCGUAAAAAGCCUUAUUUACCCAAGGUUGACCUCGGAUCAGGUAGGAAGACCCGCUGAACUUAAGCAUAUCAAUAAGCGGCGGA